CGGCAGCCGGGCUUCGGCUUUGGUGGCGAGUGCGACGGGUAGUAAUACAUCGGAACGACCCAGAAGUGGGGAUACGUAGCGAAGUUCCGCUAAUACCGCAUACGUUCUACGGAAGAAGUGGGGGAUCGCAAGACCUCAUGCUUUUGGAGCGGCCGAUGUCUGAUUAGCUAGUUGGUGAGGUAAAGGCUCACCAAGGCGCCGAUCAGUAGCUGGUCUGAGAGGCGACCAACCACACUGAAACUGAGACCGGUCCAGACUCCUACGGGAGGCAGCAGUGGGGAAUUUUGGACAAUGGGCGCAAGCCUGAUCCAGCAAUGCCGCGUGAGUGAAGAAGGCCUUCGGGUUGUAAAGCUCUUUUGGCAGGGAAGAAACGGCGGGGCUAAUAUCCUUUGCUAAUGACGGU
This 403-nucleotide ribosomal RNA is filed under the name uncultured bacterium. Its description in RNAcentral is "bacterial SSU rRNA". It matches the Rfam family "Bacterial small subunit ribosomal RNA", at positions 67 to 476 of the family's 1533-position model. The record is from RNAcentral.